UAGCCAUCGAAUCUACAGUUGAAAAAUAUGGACUCA
RNAcentral lists this small RNA (36 nucleotides) under Arabidopsis thaliana (thale cress). Its description in RNAcentral is "ATSL132460". The record is from RNAcentral. Lineage: Eukaryota; Viridiplantae; Streptophyta; Magnoliopsida; Brassicales; Brassicaceae.